AUUGAACGCUGGCGGAAUGCUUUACACAUGCAAGUCGAACGGCAGCACGGGGGCAGCCCUGGUGGCGAGUGGCGAACGGGUGAGUAAUACAUCGGAACGUGCCCGGUCGUGGGGGAUAACGUAGCGAAAGUUACGCUAAUACCGCAUACGAUCUGAGGAUGAAAGCGGGGGACCUUCGGGCCUCGCGCGAUCGGAGCGGCCGAUGUCAGAUUAGGUAGUUGGUGGGGUAAAGGCCUACCAAGCCGACGAUCUGUAGCUGGUCUGAGAGGACGACCAGCCACACUGGGACUGAGACACGGCCCAGACUCCUACGGGAGGCAGCAGUGGGAAUUUUGGACAAUGGGCGCAAGCCUGAUCCAGCCAUUCCGCGUGCAGGACGAAGGCCUUCGGGUUGUAAACUGCUUUUGUACGGAACGAAAAGGCUCUGGCUAAUACCUGGGGCUCAUGACGGUACCGUAAGAAUAAGCACCGGCUAACUACGU
Molecule: ribosomal RNA, 482 nt
Filed under: uncultured bacterium
Lineage: Bacteria
Description: partial 16S ribosomal RNA
Rfam family: Bacterial small subunit ribosomal RNA
Source: RNAcentral